GAUGAACGCUGGCGGCGUGCCUAAUACAUGCCAGUCGAGCGAACGGACGAGAAGCUUGCUUCUCUGAUGUUAGCGGCGGACGGGUGAGUAACACGUGGAUAACCUACCUAUAAGACUGGGAUAACUUCGGGAAACCGGAGCUAAUACCGGAUGAUAUUUUGAACCGCAUGGUUCAAAAGUGAAAGACGGUCUUGCUGUCACUUAUAGAUGGAUCCGCGCUGCAUUAGCUAGUUGGUAAGGUAACGGCUUACCAAGGAAACGAUGCAUAGCCGACCUGAGAGGGUGAUCGGCCACACUGGAACUGAGACACGGUCCAGACUCCUACGGGAGGCAGCAGUAGGGAAUCUUCCGCAAUGGGCGAAAGCCUGACGGAGCAACGCCGCGUGAGUGAUGAAGGUCUUCGGAUCGGAAAACUCUGUUAUUAGGGAAACAUAUGUGUAAGUAACUGUGCACAUCUUGACGGUACCUAAUCAGAAAGCCACGGCUAACUACGUG
This 495-nucleotide ribosomal RNA is filed under the name uncultured bacterium. Its description in RNAcentral is "partial 16S ribosomal RNA". It matches the Rfam family "Bacterial small subunit ribosomal RNA", at positions 28 to 507 of the family's 1533-position model. The record is from RNAcentral.